Non-coding RNA from Lolium perenne, 3469 nucleotides. The record is from RefSeq and is a predicted model, not a curated record. Lineage: Eukaryota; Viridiplantae; Streptophyta; Magnoliopsida; Poales; Poaceae.
GUGAAAACCCUAGCCGCCAGGGAGCCAAUCCAUUGCUCGCUUUCUUCCCCAAUCCCCUUCGCCCUCUUCCCCGAGAUCCCUUCCGCUCGGCCUCUUCUCUCCACCUCCCAAGUCCCCAGGUCGUCUCCCUGCCACCACCCCCAUACUGGCCCUCUUCUAGCUCCAUCUGACCUGCUCGUCCAUGCCAGCAGGAUGCGGAUGGACGGCUGCCGCUGCACCGCGCGAGAGGAGGCAGGACACCCACGACAGCAGCAGUCUGCUCGACCCUGUCCGCGGCUCAUCUUCUUCAUGGACAACGGCCGUCACAGUUUGAGGUCAGUGCACCCGCCGGAGAGAAGGGAGAGCAUAUGCUGCCAGGUUAUCACUGGUGAACUGGGGUUGGUAACUGGGAGGGUGCACAAAGAUGGAGUACUCGGUGGAUGUGUGGUCGGGGACCAAGCCUACUAUGUCACCAACUCAUUCGAAUUGGUUGACAUGGACAACCAGAUCUAGAGAGUUAUCACAAUAUGCAAAUCUGGGCAAGGUGCUGCUGCAUCCCAGCUUUAGAGAGGUUCCUCCAUGGGCAUUCAUAGAUUUUGUUCUUAGUUGUCUGCCAUAUGAUUAUAUACUGGGAGCUUGGCCUCCGACGAGGAGGCCACUGCUGCUCGCCCGGAUAUUGGUCUUCGACGAGCGCGAGAGGAGGAGGCUACCGUUGCCUUGUACACGGUGGGCUGCUGUCUCGCCCAGCCACCCUCCUUUUCCUCUGCAUCGUGGCCGCCUCAGCAGCAGCUGGAGCCGGCGGACGGCGCCGGGACGGCGGAUCCUGUCACCUUGAGGUGUGCAGCAGGCCGUGAACUGCAGCCUGCAGCCAAGGAUGAAGGCACUUCGGCCGUGGACUGUCUCCUCGUUGCACCGUUUUCCUCAUGCACGGCGGCAACAGCAGGGGACCGACCUCCAAUGACUGCUAUGGCAUGACAUGGAGACGGGGUGGAGUGUGAAACAGUUCUGAACCAGCUACUAGGCAGGUAGUGACUUGGAUUGUGAUACAGUUACAUGAAAGGAGUACAAAUCCAUGACGCUCGCAUCAAGGUAGCCGACACCAUGGCAUCCAUUUUUCUCCCAACCGUGAAUAAAAAUGUAUUUCUGCUACAUAAUCACACUCAAAUUCAUUACUCUUGAUUUUUGCCUCCAACAUUGUGCCUGGCAUUAUGAGAAAGACCCUAAAUGAUGUUCAGUUCAAAGGAUACACAACCGGCAGGAUGGGGGGUGAUGGUACGCCCUCUAGCGGUGCAGUUGAAUCCGAAUAUUUACAUGCAUUCUCUCAUCUUCAGCCCUUCAUAGUUUAAGGUCUGUAGACUUUAAUGCUCACUGGGUCUGGUUUUUUAUAACGCAUCAUUACCUAGCACCGUAACGUUACUUGUCAUUGUAAUUUAUAUGUGAAACACUUACACUUUUUACGCUAGGAUUAGAAAUAUAAGCUAGGUUUGGACGAAUUUGUUUUUACUUUUUGAACAACCUGCAUCUUAACACUGUCAUGCUAUAUGGUUUUAACAACCUGCAACGUAAUUCAUCCGAUCUGUGUUCAGGAGAGAGGUCGGGGGCCAUGGUAUAUUCAGGUAUGGUCUGUUCACAUAUGGAUGCUACUUUAUUUUGCAUCUGAACCGGUGAAGUGCAUUUUUCUUGAAUAUGACAUGCCUUAGGGCAGAAAAGAAGAAUAUAAAAAAGAAAGGGGAGGAAAAAAGGGGGGAAGCAUGCAUCAACGUAGGCCAGCAUUGGCUGGAGGUCCUCACGGACAGGCAUCUUUCAGUUUCUUAGUCACGGUUGCAUUUUGCAUAUCGCGGAGAGUUCAGUUUCUUAGUCAUUGUUGCAGUCAAGGCAAUAUCACAAUACUCCUGUCAAAAUUAGUUUAUAUUUUGAGCCUACCCUCCGUUUUCAUUAAAUCAAAAAUCUUAAGAGUGAUACAAUUUUUACAGGGUAUAUGGGAAUAUUAGCUUAUGUAUCAUGUCUUUUUUUAUCUCUGUAUGCAUGCAUAGAGUAAUAUUUUUCAUCCUUUAGGUGUAUUUGGUGUUAGUUUAAAAGCAAAUUUGUAUGAUAAGUACAGUAAUGGUUUUCUUGCAAUUUACUUUUCCUGUUUUGUUCUGCUUGCGACGGUUGAUUAUUUAGUUCAUCUAACUUCUAUAAAGUGUGACUGUAGAUUCUGUUCAAAAGCAAUAUUUGAGUCAUCUUCAGUCGUAUUAGUUGGCUCUGGUUGUUAUCCUUUUUCAGAGUGUUCAUCUUCAGGUGCUAUGUCAGGUAAUCUGUCUUCACAUGAUAUUUCUUUUCUGAUUCUGCAUCCUACCCACUGCUUUGGAUCAAUAUAAGCUUUUUAAUUUGUAGGUCAUUACAUACAGCCUUUGUCAAAUAUUAGUUCAUCAAUUAAGUUUAUGGUGGAUCAGUAAUCUGAUUUGUUCUAUGGGCAUUCCAGUUCUGAGCCCCAGCCAUCACGUUUGCAUAUAACAUAUAUCGUAAUAUUUCCUAUGUUCGUCGAACAAUGCACGACCAUUUGGAAUUCCGAGGAUGCGUAUAAAUAAUAUCUAUUUCCUAUGUUCGUCGAACAAUGCACGACCAUUUGGAAUUCCGAGGAUGCGUAUAAAUAAUAUCUAGGUAACCAUUCUAGAGUCUUCGCAAAAUUUAUUACUCAUUUUGUAGGCACUUUUAAUUAGUUAUACUAUUAUGCCCCAUAUUUUAAAGUUAAUAUAUCCCUAUGAAGUAAGAUGAAGGAUUGGUAACAACAUUAACAAAUGUGUUUCCAAUAAAAACCAAUCAGGCGGCAGAUGGCAUAUUGAUAUUACUGAAGCAAGAUGAGUUCCCUAGAAAAAGAUAGAAUCCCAUGGGAGUCAUGACACUAAUAUGGUUUCUUUUUUCACUUAUUGAGCUAUAUUUAAUAAUCUUCUUUCUCAUUUCUAGAGUUAUAUGCCUGGCAGUAGUGAACAAUUUGCAAGUGUGAGCAUAAGCCCUUUAGAUGUACCAACGAGUGGAAAGAUUCAGGGAAAGACAAAAUCAAGAUCGACUUGAUUUAGCCCUGUAGCUAUCCAGAGCUUCAUCCUAAGAUACUGCUUAGGUUCUAUAUGAUUGUGUCUAACCCAAAAAUGAAACACUAAUGGAACAUAUCACUUUCUCUUCAAGUCAAACUAUUAAGACAUUUAUAUUAAAAUAAUGAUCGAUCUCCUCUUGAUGAUAAUGUCCUAGAUUUUUUGAAUCUCCUUUCCUUUGAGAGUUAUAUGUUUGGUAGAGCACGUAAUCAUGGUGUAUCAUGUGUCCUGUUCAAUGCCGAAAUGUAUGUAGACUUUUUGUUCCAAGCGUCGCUCCUGUUUCGCCUUCGGGUCAAGAUUAUUUUCUAUGUGCUUAGUUGCUGUUAUAGGGGUGGAGUUGCUUCUCUUUUUAAUCAUAUUUCAUGUUACCAUAAAGAUUAUGCCCAUUUAAUUCAGCUGUGUACAUAACACAUCUAUUU